AGUGAACGCUGGCGGUAGGCCUAACACAUGCAAGUCGAACGGCAGCACAGUAAGAGCUUGCUCUUACGGGUGGCGAGUGGCGGACGGGUGAGGAAUACAUCGGAAUCUACUUUUUCGUGGGGGAUAACGUAGGGAAACUUACGCUAAUACCGCAUACGACCUACGGGUGAAAGCAGGGGAUCUUCGCACCUUGCGCGAUUGAAUGAGCCGAUGUCGGAUUAGCUAGUUGGCGGGGUAAAGGCCCACCAAGGCGACGAUCCGUAGCUGGCCUGAGAGGAUGAUCGGCCACACUGGAACUGAGACACGGUCCAGACUCCUACGGGAGGCAGCAGUGGGGAAUAUUGGACAAUGGGCGCAAGCCUGAUCCAGCCAUACCGCGUGGGUGAAGAAGGCCUUCGGGUUGUAAAGCCCUUUUGUUGGGAAAGAAAAGCAGCAGGUUAAUACCCCGCUGUUCUGACGGUACCCAAAGAAUAAGCACCGGCUAACUUCGUG
This 492-nucleotide ribosomal RNA is filed under the name uncultured bacterium. RNAcentral's name for it is "partial 16S ribosomal RNA". It matches the Rfam family "Bacterial small subunit ribosomal RNA", at positions 29 to 507 of the family's 1533-position model. The record is from RNAcentral.